This 351-nucleotide ribosomal RNA is filed under the name Cotesia sp. HD-217. RNAcentral's name for it is "partial 28S ribosomal RNA". The record is from RNAcentral. Lineage: Eukaryota; Metazoa; Arthropoda; Insecta; Hymenoptera; Braconidae.
CGAAUGAGGAGAUUCAUCGUCAGCUUAUUCAGUAUUAAUGCAGGCUAUGAUGUGAUAAUAGAACCCUUGUGGUCACUAGAUUAUACUUGCUUGUAUUAUUUUUGCUGGGUAUGUCGGCGUCCACUUCUCCUCUAGUAGAACGUCCCAACCCGUUGGAUGUUUAUCUAUGGCUUGAAUGGUAGCCUUUGAUAUUUUUUAUAUUGAAGACCUUCGAUGUCCUGAUAAACUGUUUGACGGUAUACAUAUGGUAUUGAGCCGCAAUUAUUUGCGUUAGACUUGCCGCAAGUAUGACUUUAUUCUAGUAGUGCGGAUCUAAUGCCGUCGCUGGACAAAGUCUGCUGUUAGCUGUGU